Molecule: unclassified non-coding RNA, 265 nt
Filed under: uncultured fungus
Lineage: Eukaryota; Fungi
Description: sequence contains ITS1, 5.8S rRNA gene
Rfam family: 5.8S ribosomal RNA (bases 217-265)
Source: RNAcentral
UUUCCGUAGGUGAACCUGCGGAAGGAUCAUUACCAAAACUGGCCGCAAGGCCUGCUGAACGGUGGCUUCGAGCCCCCCGACAGUAUACCCUUUGUGAAAAACCUCUGUUGCUUCGGCGGCAUCCUCGGGGGAAACCCCGGGGUGUCAGCCCGCCGACGGCACCCUCAAAAACUCAGUUGGAAACCCUUCUGUCUGAUAAAUUAGCGAAUGCUAUAAAACUUUCAACAACGGAUCUCUUGGUUCCCGCAUCGAUGAAGAACGCAGC